CGUAUAGGAGGUCCUGCCUGCCCAGUGACAUAAGUUAAACGGCCGCGGUAUUUUGACCGUGCAAAGGUAGCGCAAUCACUUGUUUUUUAAAUGAAGACCUGUAUGAAUGGUGAAACGAGGGCUUAACUGUCUCCCCUCUCUGAUCAGUGAAAUUGAUCUACCCGUGCAGAAGCGGGUAUAAAAAUACAAGACGAGAAGACCCUGUGGAGCUUAAGACAUAAGUCAACUGCGUUAAUAAACCCCACUAAGGGAAAAAACAAAGCAACAACUGACCAACGUCUUCGGUUGGGGCGACCACGGGGGAAAAAAGAUCCCCCACGUGGAAUAGAUAUUUUCCUAAACCAUGAGGCACACCUCUAAGUCACAGAACUUCUGACCUUAAGAUCCGGCAUUCAGCCGAUCAACGGACCAAGUUACCCCAGGGAUAACAGCGCAAUCCUCUCCAAGAGUCCAUAUCGACGAGAGGGUUUACGACCUCGAUGUUGGAUCAGGACAUCCUAAUGGUGCAGCCGCUAUUAAGGGUUCGUUUGUUCAACGAUUAAUAGUCCUACGUGAUCUGAGUUCAGACCGG
This 571-nucleotide ribosomal RNA is filed under the name Megalamphodus sweglesi. Its description in RNAcentral is "Hyphessobrycon sweglesi partial large subunit ribosomal RNA". It matches the Rfam family "Bacterial large subunit ribosomal RNA", at positions 1842 to 2619 of the family's 2925-position model. The record is from RNAcentral. Lineage: Eukaryota; Metazoa; Chordata; Actinopteri; Characiformes; Acestrorhamphidae.